CUAAAAUCUAUUUAUCUUCUUCUCAGCCGCCGAUCCUCUUCACCCCCAUCUCUCCCCUUCGCAACCUUCCUCCUCAUCUUCUUCACAUCUUCCCUUCGCAACUCUUCCGUGUAGCAGCUCUGUGAACCUUCCUCCUUAUCCUCUUCCGUGUAGCAUCUUCAGAUCUGCAUCUCCGCUCCAGGAAGGGGAGGUCGAUCUUAUUGAGAGCAAACAGGUUAUAUUUCUGGUUAUGCAUUCACUUUGGAAACCUUCGCUGUUUUCUAAUUCCUAUUCAUCUUUGUACUCAUUGAUUUUCUUUCUUUGUAAAAAAAUUUCUUUGUAAUUUGAUGGCAUUACAGUGAAAACCAAUUGUUCAAAUGUUUUUUAUUUCUUCUCUGUUUAAGUAACAAGUUUGAUUAUUAUUCUUUGCUUUGCUUUGUGAGUUUGUACAUAUUCUGCCUCUGUAGUGCAGUACCACUAACACUUCAAAUAUUCUGGCUUUCUGGUAAUGAUAAAAUUCUGGCAAUGUCGAUCAA
Molecule: long non-coding RNA, 515 nt
Organism: Malus domestica (apple)
Lineage: Eukaryota; Viridiplantae; Streptophyta; Magnoliopsida; Rosales; Rosaceae
Source: RefSeq, a predicted model, not a curated record